GAUGAACGCUGGCGGCGUGCCUAAUACAUGCAAGUCGAGCGAACGGACGAGAAGCUUGCUUCUCUGAUGUUAGCGGCGGACGGGUGAGUAACACGUGGAUAACCUACCUAUAAGACUGGGAUAACUUCGGGAAACCGGAGCUAAUACCGGAUAAUAUUUUGAACCGCAUGGUUCAAAAGUGAAAGACGGUCUUGCUGUCACUUAUAGAUGGAUCCGCGCUGCAUUAGCUAGUUGGUAAGGUAACGGCUUACCAAGGCAACGAUGCAUAGCCGACCUGAGAGGGUGAUCGGCCCCACUGGAACUGAGACACGGUCCAGACUCCUACGGGAGGCAGCAGUAGGGAAUCUUCCGCAAUGGGCGGAAGCCUGACGGAGCAACGCCGCGUGAGUGAUGAAGGUCUUCGGAUCGUAAAACUCUGUUAUUAGGGAAGAACAUAUGUGUAAGUAACUGUGCACAUCUUGACGGUACCUAAUCAGAAAGCCACGGCUAACUACGUG
This 497-nucleotide ribosomal RNA is filed under the name uncultured bacterium. RNAcentral describes it as "partial 16S ribosomal RNA". It matches the Rfam family "Bacterial small subunit ribosomal RNA", at positions 28 to 507 of the family's 1533-position model. The record is from RNAcentral.